This 3223-nucleotide long non-coding RNA is filed under the name Hordeum vulgare. RNAcentral's name for it is "long non-coding RNA (HVUL_LNC005860)". Lineage: Eukaryota; Viridiplantae; Streptophyta; Magnoliopsida; Poales; Poaceae. The record is from RNAcentral.
GAAGCAGCUGCAGGGGACGACCAUGGCUGUCUAGGAGUUCCGCCCCGCCGCCAAUAGGUGUCCUCGUCGCCCUCUGGUGCCGGGAAGCCCCGGAUCCGGUAGCCCUCGUCCCGAUCUACCCAUUCCCGGUUGAAACUCGCCGGCAGGGCCCGUCCCCGUCGUGCCCUUGGCCGUUCACCAUCGGCCUGACUUCGUAGCUCCACCAACCGACAGAUCUGGCCACAGGUGAGCCUCCGUGCCGCGCCAUAUAGUUGUACAAAACGAAUCUGUGUUAGGAUAGAACCUCCCUCGUAGUCCAACUGGCAAGGAAGGAGAUGCUCAUCCAAGAGGUCUCGGGUUCGAAACACCACGACUGCACAUUCUUUUUCUGCAUUUUCUCCUUCGAGGAUGAGCUGGUGUUGCCGUUUCAUUUAGUUUAUAAGCCCGUUUCAUUUAGUUUAUAAGCCCAGUUAUUUCGUGUGCAAGUAGGCAGCCCAGCUGGUUAGCGGCAGGCCUUUGUAUCUAGGAGGUUGUAGGAUCAAACCCAUGGGUGCCUUAUUCUUUUUGCUGGCUGUGUUUUUUUCUCUCUUGCCCACAGCUGUCUUGGGCCGAUUUCAGCCCCGGGCCACUGCACAAUAGUGCAAUUCGGUCCACUGUGUUUUUUCUUUAAUAUCGUGUGAUUGUCCAAUUUCUAGGGUCUUUGCUAAUUUCAGGAAAGGCAUUGUUUUUCAAACGAGCGUAGUUUCUAAUCCGUGUAUCGGUUCGAAGUUAUUCAAAUUUGUAGCUUUACUAGAAUUUCACGUAGGUUAAUAAUUUCCAACUCUCAUGCAUAAUUAGAUCUGUUUAGUGUGUUGUUUGCAUCGGUUUGCAUGCCUUCGUGUUAAAAACGGUUUAGAUCGUAACUAUUUGUGCGUAGCUCCAUUGGAGAUGUGCCAUAUAUGUAAAUGGUGCAGAACGACGAGUAGAAUCACGAGAACCACUUUGCCUUUCCGUUUAACAAACCUAAAAUGUGAUUAGGACAAAUCUGGACAAAAUUGUAAUUUAACACAUGGGGUCAUUUCGGAGAUGCUAUAUGUUGUUUCCGGUCUCAUUUAAAAUGCCUAGAUAGGUAGUUUAAUUUGUGCUUCACCCCUUGCCAUGUUAACAACAUUUUAAAUAUUGCCGUGUAAAUUAACAGGAGUGAACUGAACAAUUAAAUGUGGAGUUUCGUCGAUAUGCAACCCGUUGCAUAUCGAGCUUCACUUAAUGUGUAGUGUUUGAUUGUUGUGAUUGUCAUGCCUUGCAUUAGACCGUUCAUGCAUCAUGUGUGUCUUGCAUCGUGUGAUGUAUAUCGUGUGUUGAUGCUUGUUUCCGGUUUCCUCCGUCUCGAUAGAGUUCCGCAGGUGUGUCGGAUGUGAGGACCGUUCGACUACGUCGGUUCGUCUGCUUCACGGAGUCACUCUUCUUCCAAACGGGAUCUCAGGCAAGAUGAUCAUUUCCCCAGAUACCAUUACUAUCAUUGCCAUGCUAGUUUUUUCGCUGCUAUCGAUUAUGUCUCGUUGCCUACCACAUGUGAAAUAUCAGCCUCUCUACAAUGCCAUGAAACCUUCAACCUGUUCAACCUAGCAAACCACUGAUUGGCUAUGUUACUGCUUGCUUAACCAUGUUGAUAGCCAGGUGCAGAUGCUUCCAUGUGAAAACAUGGGUUCCUUGUCAUAUCACCAUAUUAAAUGCUAUUUAAUUUAAUGCACCUAUAUACUUUGUAAAAGGUGGAAGGCUCGGCCUUUCUAGCCUGGUGUUUUGUUCCACCUUUGCCCCCUUAGUUUCGGCUACCGGUGUUAUGUUCCAUAAAUGAGCGCUCCUAACACGAUCGGGGUUGUUAUGGGGACCCCCUUGAUAAUUCGUUUUAGUUUAAAGCUGGUCUGGCAAGGCCCAACAUUGGUUUUACAUUUGCCCAACAUAAUAAUUUUGUUAACACUGAAAUGCAUAGGGAGUUAGCGCUACCCGAGGAGUAAUUUUACAUAAACAGGAGGGGCCAGUGCUGAUGGUGUUGGUCCCAAACGGUCUGCCUGCGGGGCCACCGCGAGGAAACUCGAGGUUUGGCACCCGUAGCUAGUUCCAUCUGUCGUGUCCUGAGAACGAGAUACGCGGCUCCUAUCGGCUUCGUCGACACGUCGGGCGGCCUUGCUGGAUUAGUUUUACCUUUGACGAGAUAUCUUGUGCAUCGGGAUUCCGGUGAUGCUUUGGGUAAUCUCAGAGUUGAGGUUUUCCACUAGGGAAUCCGACGAGAUCGCGAGCUUCGUGAUUGAGGAUUUCUAUGUGGCUUGUGGUAAUUUGUAAUGGACUAGUUGGAGCACCCCUGCAGGGUUAAAUCUUUCGGAAAACCGUGCCCGCGGUUAUGUGGCAACGUGGAAGCUUUGUUUAACACUGGUUCUAGAUAACUUGAAGUUAACUUAACUAAAACACGCCAACUGUGUGCGUAACCGUGACUAUCUCUUUCGUGAGUUUCUUCUCCGAUCGAGGACACGGUGGGGUUAUGUAUGACGUAGGUAGGUGUUCAGGAUCAUUCAUUUGAUCAUUAGUAGACACUUCCGUUAUGCGUAGAUCUUCCCCCUCUUGUUUCUUGUACACGUAAGUUUAGCCACCAAAUAUAUGCUUAGCCGCUGCUACAACCUCACCACUUAACCAUGCCUCACCCAUUAAGCUUUGCUAGUCUUGAUACCUUUGGAAAUGAGAUUGUUGAGUCCCGUGUGGCUCACAGAUUACUACAACACCAGUUGCAGGUACAGGUAAAGGUUACUUAACGCGAGCGCGUUGGUUGUUCAUUUGGAGUUGCCUCUUCUUCUUCAUCAAUCUAGGAUGGGUUCCAGGCCGGCAGCCUGGGAUAGCAAGGAUGGACGUCGUUUUUAUUUUUCUCGUUUGUUUUCGUCCGUAGUCGGACCCUGCUCUUACUCUUGAUGAUUAUGUAAUGUACUGAUGUGACUCUGAUGUAGCUUGUGGCGAGUGUAAGCCAACUCUGUAUAUAUAUCUCUUCUUUUCAGUACAUGUACUUGUAACGAUAUCCAUUCUUGCGACACGAUGAGAUGCGCUUCUAUCCUUGACGAGGCCUUCGUGCCAAAUUGAGGAUAGGGUCGCAUCUUGGGCGUGACAACCCUCUGCCCUCUUCUUCUCAGCUUCAAGGGCGAGACGAUUGGCCUCGGAUGGUGAAGACAUGGCGAUAACGAGGGCGACGCGGAUGUAGACGAAGCAGAUGGACGGAGGCGAG